RNAcentral lists this ribosomal RNA (253 nucleotides) under uncultured bacterium. RNAcentral's name for it is "partial 16S ribosomal RNA". It matches the Rfam family "Bacterial small subunit ribosomal RNA", at positions 524 to 776 of the family's 1533-position model. The record is from RNAcentral.
UACGAAGGGGGCUAGCGUUGCUCGGAAUCACUGGGGGUAAAGCGCACGUAGGCGGACUCUUAAGUCAGGGGUGAAAUCCUGGAGCUCAACUCCAGAACUGCCUUUGAUACUGGGAGUCUUGAGUUCGGGAGAGGUGAGUGGAACUGCGAGUGUAGAGGUGAAAUUCGUAGAUAUUCGUAAGAACACCAGUGGCGAAGGCGGCUCACUGGCCCGAUACUGACGCUGAGGUGCGAAAGCGUGGGGAGCAAACAGG